RNAcentral lists this ribosomal RNA (490 nucleotides) under uncultured bacterium. Its description in RNAcentral is "partial 16S ribosomal RNA". It matches the Rfam family "Bacterial small subunit ribosomal RNA", at positions 30 to 507 of the family's 1533-position model. The record is from RNAcentral.
AUUGAACGCUGGCGGCAGGCCUAACACAUGCAAGUCGAACCGUAACAGGAAGAAGCUUGCUUCUUUGCUGACGAGUGGCGGACGGGUGAGUAAUGUCUGGGAAACUGCCUGAUGGAGGGGGAUAACUACUGGAAACGGUAGCUAAUACCGCAUAACGUCGCAAGACCAAAGAGGGGGACCUUCGGGCCUCUUGCCAUCGGAUGUGCCCAGAUGGGAUUCGCUAGUAGGUGGGGUAACGGCUCACCUAGGCGACGAUCCCUAGCUGGUCUGAGAGGCUGACCGGCCACACUGGAACUGAGACAGGGUCCAGACUCCUACGGGAGGCAGCAGUGGGGAAUGUUGCACAAUGGGCGCAAGCCUGAUGCAGCCAUGCCGCGUGUAUGAAGAAGGCCUUCGGGUUGUAAAGUACUUUCAGCGGGGAGGAAGGGAGUAAAGUUAAUACCUUGGCUCAUUGACGUUACCCGCAGAAGAAGCACCGGCUAACUCCGUG